AUCGCUUCCGGCCUUUUGGCUCAGAUCAAGUGUAGUAUCUGUUCUUAUCAGUUUAAUAUCUGAUACGUCCCCCAUCGGGGACUACAUAUUAAAUGGAUUUUUCGAACAGGGAGUCGGAAAUGGGGCUUGCUCCGUCCGCUCCACGCAUCGACCCGGUAUUGCAGUACCUCCGGGAAUGGUGCAACACUU
Molecule: small nuclear RNA, 189 nt
Filed under: Salmo salar (Atlantic salmon)
Lineage: Eukaryota; Metazoa; Chordata; Actinopteri; Salmoniformes; Salmonidae
Description: U2 spliceosomal RNA (ENSSSAG00000097148.1)
Rfam family: U2 spliceosomal RNA
About the family: U2 is a small nuclear RNA (snRNA) component of the spliceosome (involved in pre-mRNA splicing). Complementary binding between U2 snRNA (in an area lying towards the 5' end but 3' to hairpin I) and the branchpoint sequence (BPS) of the intron results the bulging out of an unpaired adenosine, on the BPS, which initiates a nucleophilic attack at the intronic 5' splice site, thus starting the first of two transesterification reactions that mediate splicing.
Source: RNAcentral